Molecule: long non-coding RNA, 3241 nt
Organism: Oncorhynchus tshawytscha (Chinook salmon)
Lineage: Eukaryota; Metazoa; Chordata; Actinopteri; Salmoniformes; Salmonidae
Exons: 3
Source: RefSeq, a predicted model, not a curated record
CAAGCCUGACAUGAAACCAAGAGUAAACAGGGUAAAUGCUACAUCUUUACAGUACAUGAAAUAUGUUCACUCAAACACAGUUGAGUGCUGGUUAGGUCAUCCUCCAUGUUUUUACUCAGUUUAUUUCGUCAGCUAUGCUUUGCAGCGAAUAUAAAUACCUUCAUAAUAUUUAAAUAAAAUGUGUUCAUCUUUGAAACAGUAAAAAUGGUUGAGGGGUUUAUAAUUUAGCUGAAUGGACAUAACUAGAGAUGUACUAUUUGUGCCAAGUGAACUUGCCAACGAUGUUCUUACUGUAAAUAUGUCAUUACGGUUAAAUGCACACAUUAAUGCGGUUAUUGCGGAUAGUCAUUAAUAUAACAGUUCGAUUCAAACGUUUACAUGCUUUGCAAGAAUAACGAUUUCUCUAAUAAUCAUGUUUACAUGGACACGUCUGGAAUCAGGGAACCCGAUGGCAAUCUGACGAAUGCAGAAAAAAGCUGAUCAAAAUAAACGUUCUACCACCGCGACCGCGUUAUUUUUGGGAAGCAUAUUUGACAUAUAAAGCUUGUAUGUGAAAACUACUUCUGAAGCCUAAACCACAGACAAAUGCCGUCAAAAAUGUGCGUGCGAGAGUAGAGUGCGUCAAUUCACAUACACAGCAUCGCGUAUGCCAAUUUAAUGGCCGAUACAUAAACAGGUGUAUUUAUGUUCGCUAUGUAGCCCUUGUUGAGUGUUCCUUUUGAUUAACCCUAUGUCCUACAGGAGUCACCGCACAUGCCUUCUCUAAACAGGUGUAUUUAUGUUCGCUAUGUAGCCCUUGUUGAGUGUUCCUUUUGAUUAACCCUAUGUCCUACAGGAGUCACCGCACAUGCCUUCUCUAAACAGGUGUAUUUAUGUUCGCUAUGUAGCCCUUGUUGAGUGUUCCUUUUGAUUAACCCUAUGUCCUACAGGAGUCACCGCACAUGCCUUCUCUAAACAGGUGUAUUUAUGUUCGCUAUGUAGCCCUUGUUGAGUGUUCCUUUUGAUUAACCCUAUGUCCUACAGGAGUCACCGCACAUGCCUACUCUAAACAGUUAUGUUAGCUCACGAAUGUGAGGAGUUGUUGCUAAUACACCGGAGCAGAUUUUAAAGAAUUUAUCUUGUCUCAUUCUUUCUACAGAAGUAUUCUCUCUUGAAAUCAGAGUCCCUCGUGUUUCCUAGCCUGCCUAAGCUAAGUUAUAUUCCUGUGAUGGAAAUCAACACAGGUAGGCAUAAAGUUAAUUUUCAAUGUGCAUUAUUUGGCACUGGCAGUUAAAUGUAACACUAAGGGUGUGUUCAUAAAUGCACUCUAGCUGUCUACUUCGAUUUCAGGGCGCUCUUGUCUGAGUGCCAGAGCGCAGAAUAAUAUGGCCGGUGCCAGUAAAUGUCGGCAAAAAAGGCGUAAUUAAAUUGUUGCAUGAAACAUGAAAACAGCCAAACCAGCUCUGCUAGUGCGAGUAAAAUGGUCAGAGUGAGGUUCUCAUUUUUGUCUGGAAGUAGCUAGCAAUCUAGCCAACGGCGUGGGUGCUUGACUGCCGUUGUGAGGUCAGAAGGCUUGGAUCAACCCUACUCCUCCGCCAGAGCGUCCAGUGUGCGCUCUGAAUACUCAGAGAGCGAAACGCUCUGAAUGUACUAACGGACAAUCUGACAAUGCUCUGAAUUUACUAACGCCCAGAGCGCUCUCUGAGUGAAUUUACGAACACAUCGUAAUUAGACACUUUGGGUGUGUUCGUAAAUUCCAUCUGGAGUGCCAGAGUGCGCUCUGGGCGUUCAUAAACACAGAACGUUGUCAGAUUUUGAUAAACAGAGUAAAGUGUUUACAUGACUAUUGCAUAAUCUGCCUACUGCCAUAACUUGUAACUUUAAUAUUCAUGUAUGACUGUGCAUGUAAAGGUCAUGUAUUUCACUGCAGAUCAUUCAAAAUACACAAUGAAAAAAGAUACCAAUGACUGAGCCCCUUGCUGCAAUGCUGUUAGCUUGUGCUCAUGUGUCCCUUCUGUGUCCACGUUAUAGAUUCAAGAGAUGUGUACAGUAGGAGGAAACGUAUGUGAGAACACAGUACCCUUUAGAGAACAUCAUGUAGUUGGUCAGACGGGUCAGAACUGGAGAGAGGAAGCUGGAGUCCUUGAGGAGCUGUGUGGGAGACAGCAUGGCGAUGAUCCAACAGAACAACAAUAAGCAGUCAUAAUGCUCAGAGAACAGUCAGAUAAUCCAGAAUAGUAAAUGUUGACUAACCUUCUGAAGGAAUCUGGGAUGGUGUGUUUCUGGGAAUAUUCCUGUUCAAGAAAAAAUGUUUUUUUUUUUAAACUUAUAUUAAAUAUUUCAAAAUCAAACAUGGCAAGUUAACAGUAAGACAAAGGCUAUCAAAGCAAUGUGUCACUUUGUCUUGAAGUUCUUGACCGGUAAUCUACUUUGUACACAUAUGAAGUGAGUUUGAGGGGGUAAGAGUUUAGGGUAGGGACAUCCCAAGGAUUCCAGAUAGCACUAACUCAUAGGAAACUAUAGCGGUAUAGUGUGUAUGACUCGGAGUAGAGGAAUUUGUAAGAACAGAAAAUCACUGAUUUGAAUGAGGGGUUAAACUAAAGGUGAGCUACUCUGGUACUGAUGAGAAGCAGGGUGUGGAGGAUUUAGUGGGAGAAAUAUCCAAUUGGGCUGCGUGUGUAAAUGCAGUCUUAGUAAAAAAUAAAAUAAUAAUAAUCGGACAAUAAAGGUGAGUUUACACCAGCUGCCCUUCGUUGUCUAAUCAGGCUCUGAUUGGUUACAGGUUGUCUGCUACACACAACAUAUAAAUACACAAGUCUUUUCUCCUCACUUCACCAGUACUGUUCUUUGGGUGUCAUGGCUGCUCGUACUGGCUCAGGUUUAUAGGACUGUCUUUCUCCACCCUCUUCGAGCACGGCACUCGUCGUCUAUGAGAAAGACACUAGUCGGAGCGACACCGACAAGCAUAUGCUGCCCCCCUCUCCUCUAGAGACUGAAGGCUCUUCCCGUUCCAUACCGACUAGCUGGUGUCAGCUCCAGCAGGUUCAGGAAGAGCCUGAAGCUUGUCUUUCCAGGGUGGAGAAGACCCUUUAGUGCACCACUGGUGCCCUGGCUCUAUCAAGAUUCCUUGGCAUGAGCGGAACAACCAAAUUUGAUUUGUCACAUACACAUGGUUAGCAGAUGUUAAUGCGAGUGUCGCGAAAUGCUUGUGCUUCUAGUUCCGACAAUGCAGUAAUAAACAACGAGUAACUUAACAAUUUCA